Non-coding RNA from Girardinichthys multiradiatus, 2102 nucleotides. The record is from the annotation of a RefSeq genome assembly. Lineage: Eukaryota; Metazoa; Chordata; Actinopteri; Cyprinodontiformes; Goodeidae.
AGUCAAUGCAAAACACUGAUACUGCUUUAAACACCCUGCACUGGCAGAGAAAACACACUCAGUUCAACAUUAUGGACUAUAGGACAACACUGCUGCUCUUAGCUGUCUGCUGGACAGGUGUUCGUUGUCAAACUCUGACAGAAUCUGAACCAGCAGUGAAAAACCGAGGAGACUCCCACAAAUUGACCUGUACAGCCUCUGGAUUCACAUUCAGCAACUACUGGAUGCACUGGGUCAGACUGGCUCCUGGGAAAGGACUGGAGUGGGUUGCUAUUAUCAGUGGUAGUGGUACUACAUACUACUCUCAGUCAGUCCAAGGCAGGUUUACCAUCUCCAGAGACAACAGCAAACAGCAGCUGUAUCUGCAGAUGAACCGUCUGAAAACAGGGGAUUCUGCUGUUUAUUACUGUGCUCGAGAACCACAGCGACUGAAGCUGGUUAAGCAGCUGUACAAAAACUUCAAGGCCCCUCAAAGUUAACUGAUGGAAGCUUUUAUAUUGACUGUGAGGAACUGUUACUGUAUGGGACACCAAUAGUAUUACACUGAAACACUGAUGCUGAGACAAAGUGAAGAAUAAACCCAAUUUUUUAUUUAUAUACGGUUAAAAUCCCAUCACUGUCUGACCAUGAAAAAUGCAAAUGCAAUCUAUUGUCAAGAAACAUGACAUCCAUUCCAUUCCUGGCAUUUUAAACAAGUGGAUCUUUAGGAUUUUACUCUUUAGGCACAACUUAAACAUAAAAUGUGACUACUCUAUAAAUUAUCAGGACGCGAGGCCUGCUUCAAAUACCUUUCUGAAAAGGACCUGAGAAUAUUGCCAGUAUAUUAUGAAGUUUUAUCCAGAAUUUAUUAAUAAUUAAAAAAAUAAUAAUUUUCCUAAAUGGUUCAAGAAUUUCCCUAAACCUCGUCAUUAAUAAUCUGUGGUCUCAUUGUUUAAUCUAACAUUGAAUUUUUUUAUGUAAUCUGUUCUGUAGGUUUACAGAAAAAACCUAAAAUCAGAGCCACUUAGUAAACAGUUUACAGCCUUACUUUAAAUUUAUUAAGCAUGCAUGUUUGUGUUAAAUGUAAACAGAGCAGUACAUGAAUUACAAAUGAUUACACAGAGCUUUCAACAAUCAUCUUAAAAUUAAGCAAAUUAUUUAGGAUAAAAAGAUGUUUCUUUUGACUUUAUAUAGAACAAAUCCUGUAAUGUAAUAUGUAUUAUUGAAUUUUCCCUAUAUGGUAAAAAGAAAAGUAAUAUUUGUAGAUUGAAACUAUUUGACUGAUAUGGGAGCCAAAAAAUGUGUUUUAUAUCUGUGUUUCUGCUCUGUGGCUGCAUCAGUCAGCAGCUAUCUUUUCUUUUUUUAUAUUCUUUAAAAAUAUUCUCAUGCAGUAUAUCUUUAAUUUCCAGGUGUAAGAUGUGAACAACUGAGCCAGUCAGCCGCUGUGACUGCAGCCUGGCGAACGUCUGACCAUGACCUGUCAGGUCUAUUAUUCUGUCAGUGAUGACUACACACACUGGAUCAGACAGGAACAAGACUGGCGGGGAUCAGUAGAGACACAAGUGUCAAAAGAUUUGUUAAAAAACAAGUUUAAUGCCAACGUAGAGUCCUCCAACAAAGCAAUGACUUUGACAAAACCUGCAGCCUGAAGACACCGCCAUGUGUUACUGUGCUGGAGCACUAUUACACAGUGGUCCAAACUAGCUGUGGAGAUGUAAAAAAAACAUCAGAACCUGAGCAUGUGUUACAUGAAGUCACCACAAAAGGGCCUCAGUUCACUGAUGUUAAAAAGUGGAAACAUUUUGGAAUUUUGAGUUUUAAUAGAUGGCUACUUUUAGAAUUGUUACCACACAUAUUUUUUUAAAACUUAUUUUAUUUAACUCACAUUUUUAUUGAUUUUUGGGAGAUAGCUUCAAUGACAGCUGUAUUACAGACAGAAUACUUAUAAUAAUCUUUAGUCGGCCAGGGUGAAAAAGAACAAACAUGUUGUGUUUCCUGUAUUCACUGGAGGAAGACAGUUACAUUUGAAAAAAAUAUAAGGGGUGCUGCAUUUAACUGUGGGUGAAUAAAAUGCUGGUUUCUAGAGAGUCUGUCCUCAUUAAAUUAUCAUGUUAUACCUACUA